RNAcentral lists this long non-coding RNA (806 nucleotides) under Equus asinus (donkey). RNAcentral describes it as "lncRNA (ENSEASG00005034989.1)". Lineage: Eukaryota; Metazoa; Chordata; Mammalia; Perissodactyla; Equidae. The record is from RNAcentral.
ACAUUUUGUCCUUAGAUGGACAUGCCACGCUCCAGUGCAUCUGUAAGAAGUUUUCAGGUGGUUGCCUUAACUGAUGUGAACAGAGAAACAGUCUACGAGGAUUCAGGCAGCAAUAUCUGUUAUUACAGAUAUUUCUAGGCACCAGCACAGAAAGCUUGCAGAUUGACUGUAAAAGGCAGCAGGAAGGAAGAAGAAAUGUUUGGUCUUUUGCGAUCCUGAAUGCAAGCUUAUCACUGGGCUUCUAUUUUAGCUAGGCGUAGAAUUCUCCACUCAAAAUUAUCUUCCCUCAGUGUUGAAGGCAUUUCUCCAAUAUCUUCAAGUACUCUGGGUUGUUGAUAAGAAUUGGGAAGCCAAUGAGAUUUUCGUAAUUUUUUUCUUUUUUGGAGUCCUCUAGGCUCUUUGCUUUAUCCUUGGUGUGCUAACGUUUCAGAGAGCUACCGGGCUUUUUCCACUCACUGAAAUGAAAGUUCUGUAAAUCAGAGACUUCGCCUUGUUCACUUCUGAUUGUGAGCUCCUUGCACCAAUGUGCCUGACACAUAAUAGAAACUCAAUAAAUAGUUGUUGAAUAAAUUUUUGGAACAAAUUUAUUCUGUGGAACCCUUGGAAGAUGCUUUUAAGCUGAAGAAUCUGUCCUUUUUCAUUGAAAAAGUCCCAAACUUCAUUUUCCUAAGCUCUCCUCUCUUUCAUUCACCCUUCUUCAAUGGCAAUAAAGACGUAAAUUCCCUCAGUUUGUUGAGAUCUAAAAUGCUAAAAUGGCAUCUCUCUAUCUCAUUCUUUUUGUCUUUUCUUUUCAGUCAACUGGCUUC